This 425-nucleotide ribosomal RNA is filed under the name uncultured bacterium. RNAcentral's name for it is "partial 16S ribosomal RNA". It matches the Rfam family "Bacterial small subunit ribosomal RNA", at positions 354 to 796 of the family's 1533-position model. The record is from RNAcentral.
GUGGGGAAUCUUGCGCAAUGGGCGAAAGCCUGACGCAGCCAUGCCGCGUGAAUGAUGAAGGUCUUAGGAUUGUAAAAUUCUUUCACCGGGGACGAUAAUGACGGUACCCGGAGAAGAAGCUCCGGCUAACUUCGUGCCAGCAGCCGCGGUAAUACGAAGGGGGCCAGCGUUGCUCGGAAUUACUGGGCGUAAAGGGCGCGUAGGCGGACAGCUUAGUCAGAGGUGAAAGCCCAGGGCUCAACCUUGGAAUUGCCUUUGAUACUGGCUGUCUUGAGUUUGGGAGAGGUGAGUGGAACUCCGAGUGUAGAGGUGAAAUUCGUAGAUAUUCGGAAGAACACCAGUGGCGAAGGCGACUCACUGGCCCAAUACUGACGCUGAGGCGCGAAAGCGUGGGGAGCAAACAGGAUUAGAUACCCUGGUAGUCC